UCAGGCGCGUUAAUUUCCCUCUUAUAUUUUCCCCCCAAAUUUCAUGACCCUUUAUUUUUUUAAGAAACCCUAGAAAAUUUAACCUUUUGAAUGUCCUCAUUCCUCUACGACUCUACCCUCUUAUUCUCUCUCCUUGCAGCUACAAUAUAAUCAUAAAUCUUGUUCAAAUCCUCUCAAACAACUUAAUCCCCAAUAAUAUCAGUCGAUAAAAGAGAAAUUCGCUGAGAUAAUAGAUCAAAGAUCGGGCAUCAAAAGCUAUAGCAGGGGAAUUUUUAGGGAAAUUAUAUGAAAAACCCAGGCUUGAGAAACGAUGUAUGCUUUGGAUUUGGUUCUGGGUUUGCGUUUGGGUACAAAUCUCAAGGAUUAUGACCAAAGAGUGCCAAAAGGUUGAGCUUUUUCUCCAGGCCAGUCAUGGAGGAUUUGAGUUUAAAAGCUUCUAGAAUAACUUCAUUGGCCACAAGAAUAAAAAAAUUAGGGUUCUUGUUCUUUGAAGUUUCUGGAUUUUGAAGAUUUUUGUAAUUUUUUUGCUCUCUCUCUAAUCCCCGAUAAAGCGUACUCUAAUCUCCAUUGAAGCAAUUUUUAAGUUCCUCUCCAAUUGAAACAACUCCAGGCUUUUGAUUUUGAUCUAAAUCCCUAACUAUGGCUGACCGUAAGAUUCAUCUGCCGAACGAUCUCCUUUUAUCGAUUUCCAAAGGUAAAUCCUAACAUUCCCCUCUUUUCGUCAUCAAUUUUGAUUUUUGAUGUUUUGAAGAGUUUGUAAAAUGUUAUGUUACAACUUUUCAAUUUGAAGAACAAUGGAUUUCUCUUUUUUUCUUUGAUUUUUUGUUUCAUUGGUAUAGUUUUGGAUCAGAUUUAUUUUUUUAUUUUUUUAUAAUCGUACUAAUGUUGUAUUUUUUUUUGAAAGCAUCGUACGUAUGAAUGUUGUAUAAAUACACUAGUACAUGUUUAUCUUUUUUUUUUUGGUAAUCUAUCUGAUUGGAUGUUUUUUGUUUUUUUGGUUUUAUUAUUGCUUUUGUCAAAAGGUGCUUGUUUAGCUCAAUGAUGUUGCUUGCGUAGGCGUGUGUAUUCAUGGAAAUCUAUUAGUAGCUUUGAAAUUUCUGGAUUUGUUUCACUUAACAGUGUCUCGUAUUUAAUUUAUUUCCGAAACAUGUAUAUAUGUAACUCAAUUUAUUUGAUAGAAGAAUGUAGUCGUUAUGUUGUUGCUUACCUAGUAUUUCCCUCUAUUGAUACCCUGCUGUUUCAUCCCUUCCUGUUUUUGUGCUGCUGACCACUUGUUGUCGCACUAUUGUGUGCUUGUUGUACUUGGUUCGAAUGAUAAAUUAAAAGUUGAGAGAUGAUGGUGUUCAUAAAGUUAGUCGAAUUAUUAAUCAAGUGAUCGUAUUGUUACGGGUAGUGUUGCUUUAUUGCUUAAUUAUCUUACAAAUUAAUACCUGCAAAUAAAAGAACCUUACAUCUAAGAAUUUUAUCUUGGACAUAAAACCUUAGCAUCACCAUUAUCUUAACCCGACUUGGACUGUGUCCUUGUUGUUUAUCAGUCACAAUAUCUUCUAUAUAAUGUGGAUAAAAUGAAAUAGUUAAGGGUGGAGCAGUUUUGGCGUACCAUCUUUGUGAAACGCAUAAUUCCAAGUAGUUCACUAGUCUCAUCUAUUUGCUCUGUUAGAGUUGUUUUACUACAACUUGAGAGUUCAGAAGUGGAGUAGCUUUUAUGAAAUACACAAUUCUGAAAUCCAUGAUGCAGUAGAUGCUGGCAUUCAUGAAACCCAUGAUAUGUAUAUCUGCUUGUUUUUAUAGGGGAUUAUUCUGCUAAAUCUAUUAAUUUUAUUACAUCCUAUUCCCAUUCUUUGGCUGGCAUUCAAGAAGUUACUUACCUACCACUAAUGGUGAUGGAAAAGUUUACAAAUUUUGCACUGGUGUUUCUGAACAAGUACUUCUCUACAACCUAGUGGUAUCAUCCGUCUUUUUGACACUCCUAGAUGUAUCAAUGCUGACAUGCAUGAUAGCAAGGCCUUUUGAUUAGUCUGUUGUUACUAUCAUAGCAGUCGCUCUGUUUGUUUUGUUUAUUUCACUCUGAAUCUCGACAUUCUUUUCUGCAAUACUUUAUACAAUAUCACCGGGCUGCCUUUAAUACUAUGCUAGCAGGUUUGUAUUCUCCUUCUAAUGAUUUUAUGUGUGUCGUCUCUUCUCCUUCUAAUGAUUUGAAGCUUGGUGACUUAUUUCAGAUUCUUAAAUAAAAUUAGAUUACUUUGUUUAUUUGGUAAACUAAUUGUAUCACUUAGAUUUGAGGUUUCUCAAGUAGUGUUACUGAGGAUUAUUUAAGUCUAUGAAAGAAUGAGUUGCAGCAGGUUUAUGAUACAAAUUUGCUUUAUUCUUGUUUGAUUUAAUUGGCUGGUUAUAUAUAAAAUUUUGUGUGUUUUAUCAUAGCAACCGGUCUGUUUGUUUUGUUGGAGCAGGUUUGUAAAUGAUAAAAUUACAACAUGGUUGUCCUGUCAUAAAUGGAAUUUGCAACACGAUUUUUGGCAGUCGUAAAUAGGUCAAAUUGACUGGAUUUUAGCCCAUGGUAAUUGGCUUUUGCGAUGGGAUUAUAACAGGUUAUACAUUCUACGACGACCCCUUUCUAGGACGGGCUCUCGAUAGAAAAUGCCGUGAUAAAUGAACUUUUAUGACGGGUUUUCGACGGGAUUUCAUGUCCUUAAUGAACUCGAUCUAGUAGUGUGUUUUAAUUUCAGGGGAUUUAGAUUGAUGGGAUAUGUGUAAAAACGCUAGAAGUGGAUACUAAAGCUGAAGAAGAUGCUUCCUGAAUUGGUCUUGAAUUGCUUUACUUGAGAAAUUGGAGAAGCAUGAGAAAGAAAUGAUAAUGCGGUCCAAAGAAUUGCUGAAAUUGUUUAGGGGAUAUAAUGAUUUAGUUUUAAGUUUUUAACACUUAAUUGUUUUUUUUUGUUAGUUUAACUAGUGAUAAUUUAAUUUUGUAAUUUUCCUUGUAAAUAACAAUGUACAAACUUUUAAUUUAUAUUAAUAAAAUUCUAUUUUUUUUUUCUUUCUAAAAUUCUAAUUUUAA
Molecule: long non-coding RNA, 3055 nt
Organism: Chenopodium quinoa (quinoa)
Lineage: Eukaryota; Viridiplantae; Streptophyta; Magnoliopsida; Caryophyllales; Amaranthaceae
Exons: 3
Source: RefSeq, a predicted model, not a curated record